AGACCCGAAACCCGGUGAUCUAGCCAUGGGCAGGUUGAAGGUUGGGUAACACUAACUGGAGGACCGAACCGACUAAUGUUGAAAAAUUAGCGGAUGACCUGUGGCUGGGGGUGAAAGGCCAAUCAAACCGGGAGAUAGCUGGUUCUCCCCGAAAGCUAUUUAGGUAGCGCCUCGUGAAUUCAUCUCCGGGGGUAGAGCACUGUUUCGGCUAGGGGGCCAUCCCGGCUUACCAACCCGAUGCAAACUGCGAAUACCGGAGAAUGUUAUCACGGGAGACACACGGCGGGUGCUAACGUCCGUCGUGAAGAGGGAAACAACCCAGACCGCCAGCUAAGGUCCCAAAGUCAUGGUUAAGUGGGAAACGAUGUGGGAAGGCCCAGACAGCCAGGAUGUUGGCUUAGAAGCAGCCAUCAUUUAAAGAAAGCGUAAUAGCUCACUGGUCGAGUCGGCCUGCGCGGAAGAUGUAACGGGGCUAAACCAUGCACCGAAGCUGCGGCAGCGACGCUGAUGCGUUGUUGGGUAGGGGAGCGUUCUGUAAGCCUGCGAAGGUGGCCUGUGAGGGUUGCUGGAGGUAUCAGAAGUGCGAAUGCUGACAUAAGUAACGAUAAAGCGGGUGAAAAGCCCGCUC
This 628-nucleotide ribosomal RNA is filed under the name Salmonella enterica subsp. enterica serovar Brandenburg. RNAcentral describes it as "partial 23S ribosomal RNA". It matches the Rfam family "Bacterial large subunit ribosomal RNA", at positions 711 to 1335 of the family's 2925-position model. Lineage: Bacteria; Pseudomonadati; Pseudomonadota; Gammaproteobacteria; Enterobacterales; Enterobacteriaceae. The record is from RNAcentral.